Molecule: ribosomal RNA, 600 nt
Filed under: Halomonas ventosae
Lineage: Bacteria; Pseudomonadati; Pseudomonadota; Gammaproteobacteria; Oceanospirillales; Halomonadaceae
Description: bacterial SSU rRNA
Rfam family: Bacterial small subunit ribosomal RNA
Source: RNAcentral
GCCGUACGAGCUACACAUGCAGUCGAGCGGAACGAUGGAGCUUGCUCCAGGCGUCGAGCGGCGGACGGGUGAGUAAUGCAUAGGAAUCUGCCCGGUAGUGGGGGAUAACCUGGGGAAACCCAGGCUAAUACCGCAUACGUCCUACGGGAGAAAGCAGGGGAUCUUCGGACCUUGCGCUAUCGGAUGAGCCUAUGUCGGAUUAGCUUGUUGGUGAGGUAAUGGCUCACCAAGGCGACGAUCCGUAGCUGGUCUGAGAGGAUGAUCAGCCACAUCGGGACUGAGACACGGCCCGAACUCCUACGGGAGGCAGCAGUGGGGAAUAUUGGACAAUGGGCGAAAGCCUGAUCCAGCCAUGCCGCGUGUGUGAAGAAGGCUUUCGGGUUGUAAAGCACUUUCAGUGAGGAAGAAGGCCUUGGGGCUAAUACCCCCGAGGAAGGACAUCACUCACAGAAGAAGCACCGGCUAACUCCGUGCCAGCAGCCGCGGUAAUACGGAGGGUGCGAGCGUUAAUCGGAAUUACUGGGCGUAAAGCGCGCGUAGGCGGCGUGAUAAGCCGGUUGUGAAAGCCCCGGGCUCAACCUGGGAACGGCAUCCGGAACU